Molecule: long non-coding RNA, 1746 nt
Filed under: Ixodes scapularis (black-legged tick)
Lineage: Eukaryota; Metazoa; Arthropoda; Arachnida; Ixodida; Ixodidae
Description: uncharacterized LOC8043098
Source: RNAcentral
AUGUUUAGCCAACUAGCCCACCAGAUGAUUUUAAUGCAGUUCCUUUCUUCUACAAAGGGCCCUUUUUCGUACUGUAGCUCUCCCCUGGAUUCAGUUUCUUUUUACAUCAAUGUUAUCGCCAUGUCCACCUGCAAGGCGAGAUUCUAUUCCUUCGCCAUCAGAAAUGGAGUCGUCCCACACGACCUCUAUGGGUUGUUCGGCUGCGCAAGGCCGUCUAUUCAGCAUUCCAAGAGGAUUUGCAGAAUUGUUCGAUCUGAGAUGUGGCGACAAGUCCGGUACUACAGAAAUUGCCUCUGGGUGAUGGCUGGCUGCUGGUACCACGAUGGCGGUCAAAGACAAAGACACAAGGCCUUCCUGGAAGCAGCAAGCAGGCUGACGGAGUUUAUCUGGUUGUCGUACGUGCCUCAACUCAAGAGCCUUCGUGCCCAAAGCAAGCAGCAAAAAGGCGAGUGUGUCACAUUGCUGGAUGUCCCUUCUUUACCUGAAAAAUUUACGAAGGUCCUUGAAAAAGGUCCAAAAUUUUGUACUCCUCCAAAAAGGGAAGGUGUUCAUCUCUUGUCAACUGUGCACGACAUAGCUUCCAAAACUCAUGAAAAUAAUAAAUCCAGAUGCAUAGAAGACUGUGUUGAAGUCCUGCAAAAAGCUACUGCCUCUGAAGGAAGCCAGACAGUGUUUUAUCCGAUUGUUGAUUAUUUCAGAAAAAAUGAAUUAAACCUAAUUAUAUCUGACAAGGAAGGGGGGUUCGUUGUAACAAAUAGAGCUAUCUACCUAGAAAAAACCCAGUGUGCCAUAGACAAGAGUUUCAACCAGUUGCAAGGCUUCAGAGCGAAGGCUGUCAAAUCCAAGGCCAUUCAGUUGUGCAGCCGCCUGGACUUGGUGCCUCUAAGGAAGCUUAUCUCCACAUCAAAAAAAGACCAACUGGACAUGUUUUUUACUGCAAAAACGCACAAGCUAGGAUGUCCUUUCCGAGUCAUUGUAACAGAAAAAGGAUCGUGGCAGGCCAAUAUGUCGCGAUUCCUCCUCCGUCAUCUGUCUACCCUUCCACUGAAUGACCCUUUUUUGAUUCCAAAUUCUGACGUGCUGGUUCAAUAUCUGCAGCAAAACAACACGUCUGUUCGCUAUGGGUUUUCCCUGGAUGUUGAAGACUUGUUCUACUCCAUUCCGCACGUCAAGCUCUUCACAGCCGUAAGGGAAUCCAUCGAAGAAAACGGGACCAUCUCCUUUCAGAAUCAAUGUGGCGUUCAGGUCGAAUCUUUUUUAGAACUACUGAAGUUCUACUUGUCAGCCACAAUUGUCACGUUCAAUGAUGCAUUUUACCUGCAAAAGAAAGGUAUAUGCAUAGGGUCGUGCGUGUUCGGAGGUUCGGAGGGUCGGUGUAUCGCGGUCGGCUUGACGGCAUUGCAGCGAGCCCAGGGUUCAUUCAAAAUGGCGGAGGGUGAGGCAGCUGGCGGCAACGAUUUCGGCGAGAUCGACCUCACAUGGACGGACAAGCUUCGCAAGAUGGUCUCGAGCGACGCCGAAUGGGAGGCCAUCAUCCUAAAGAAGAUGGAGGAGAAAAGGAAUAAAGAAAUGGGCAUCGAGAGCCAAGAGCCCCCAUCUAGCCCCUUCUCUGUGGGUGGUCUCUUCACCAAGAUCCGGUCGUACAUCCCAACCCGCAAGGGGGGCACGGACGGCGGCCAGGGGCAGGCCCACGACGCCAUGGCCGAGGUGGAUGGCACUCGGGACCAGCUCAUGGAGUCCCAGUAA